UACGGGGGGAGCAAGCGUUGUUCGGAUUUACUGGGCGUAAAGGGCGCGUAGGCGGCCAGCACAAGUCAGUUGUGAAAUCUCCGAGCUUAACUCGGAAAGGUCAACUGAUACUGUGCGGCUAGAGUGCGGAAGGGGCAACUGGAAUUCUUGGUGUAGCGGUGAAAUGCGUAGAUAUCAAGAGGAACACCUGCGGCGAAGGCGGGUUGCUGGGCCGACGCUGACGCUGAUGCGCGAAAGCCAGGGGAGCGAACGGG
This 254-nucleotide ribosomal RNA is filed under the name uncultured bacterium. Its description in RNAcentral is "partial 16S ribosomal RNA". It matches the Rfam family "Bacterial small subunit ribosomal RNA", at positions 524 to 776 of the family's 1533-position model. The record is from RNAcentral.